GGGCCGGAGGCGCCUGAGGGGGAUUCCGUGCGGGAAUCAGCGGCGCCACCCAGCCCCGCACAUCGCGGAGAGCGGCCCGCGUGCUUCUGAGAGCGCGGCCCCUGACGUUUCUGCUGCGUGCUGGGACCAAACCUACAGGAAGCAAAACCCUAGAGGAAGAAGUCAGCGGCUUUUUGGCUCGGAGACAAAACGGAGCCCUGCGGGUGCAGCCUGGGCUCCCUCAGGCGCAUCCCCAGACGCUGCGGGUGUCCCGGAGGCCUUGAAGUCCUCCCGUGCGUCUCGAUGCCACCAGUUUGUUUCUUUGAGCCUGCUCUGUGGGAAUGUUCUUUUCAAGGGCGACAAUGGGGAAUGGCGGAACAACACUGGUGAAAUCACACAGCCCUGGAGCGCCAGGCCUUCCAGUCGCUUCAUAAUUAGAAAACAAAACACUCAGCUACAAUACAAAUGAUGUUUUUACACUCUC
Long non-coding RNA from Symphalangus syndactylus (siamang), 463 nucleotides. RefSeq lists it as uncharacterized. The record is from RefSeq and is a predicted model, not a curated record. Lineage: Eukaryota; Metazoa; Chordata; Mammalia; Primates; Hylobatidae.